CAGUCGCCGCGGGAAUACGGGGGGGGCAAGUGUUAUUCGGAAUGACUGGGCGUAAAGGGCACGUAGGCGGUGAAAAGGGUGGAAAGUGAAAGUCGCCAAAACACUGGCGGGGUGCUUUCUUGACCAUUUCACUUGAGUGAGAUAGGGGAGAGUGGAAUUUCGUGUGGAGGGAUCAAAUCCUAAGAUAUACGAAGGAACGCCAACCGCGAAGGCAGCUCUCUGGGUCCCCACUGACGCUGGGGUGCGAAAGCAUGGGGAGCAAACAGGAUCAGAUACCCGCGUAGUCCCUGUCUCUUAUACA
Molecule: ribosomal RNA, 301 nt
Filed under: uncultured bacterium
Lineage: Bacteria
Description: partial 16S ribosomal RNA
Rfam family: Bacterial small subunit ribosomal RNA
Source: RNAcentral